UUGAGGUCUCACCUGUGGUUGGCCACCGCAUGGUGCUUCAGCCCCUCCCCCUAUAUCCUGUGCCCUCAAAGGGACUCAAUGAUCUAUCUCCCCACAAGCCAGCCACCCACUGCCCAAGCAAUCCCAAAUGGCGCCAUUCCAAAAGGGCUGUUUUUUUUUUCUUAUUAAAUAAAAAGAAACCUAAUCAAGAUCUUCAAAGGUCUCUGCCCAAGAAAUAAACCCAGAAAAAUAAAGACAGCAGAGGUAAUUAAAAUCCAGCCUUAUCAGGGAAACAAGGCUUCAGCUGCUUCCAAGAGGAAAGCCUGCACUUCCACAUCCAUCUCCAAAGAGAAUGCUGUCUGUCUCCACUCAGCACAGAGCUGGUGGUUUUGAAAGGCAAGGUAGACCAGUAGGCCAGAAUUGCCUGAACCAUUAUCUUCUAAAACUAAAUUAAAUAGAAACUGGUUUAUAGAUUCUCAGUCCACAGAGGUGUUUCCCAUGACACCUCAGCUGCCAGUUACAGAGUAAAUGAGAGAAAUGUAGGGCCACCCAAUUCUGUCCCACUUAGAUGUGCUCCAAGCCACACACAUAUAACCCAGGCACUUCCUGCCUCCCUGGGUGAAAUUUGGUUUGGAUAGACAGGGUUGCACCACAGAAGAGACCACCAAGGACUAUCUUAACAGCACAGCUUCCAGCCUCCAGGCUUCCCCAAGGUUUGAAAUGCCCAAGACCAUCGAGCAUCCAAGAGCCAGAUGUGGCUACAGGAAGGGUAGGGCAGCUGUCUUCUUUCUCUCUGGGCCCAUUUGGCUUGAGUCCAAGCUAAAGGACAAGGAGUCCCCUUUUCCUACACCAGGAGCUCAUGGCCCUCUGCCAAUGUGCUGCUGGCACAGAGCGGUCGUCAUCCAGCCUGUGUUUUGGGGUGAGUGCAUGUGAGUAUGGUAAGUGCUUGGGCAGACGGUGCUGGAUUCUCACCUGACUGGAGGUGUUGCUAGCCAGGAAGGAAAGAGUGGAAGUGUCCCUUUGUCUGAACUGUCCCCACAAAUGCCAUCUCUUCUAUGACCAUAUUAUUUGGAGUCACACUAAUGCCCACGGUUGAUGUUGGGAGCCUCAAGCUGAUGGGGUCAUCAUCUACUCAAACCCUGAGGCUGGCCAGCACUGGCUUUCUUCCUUUUCUAAUUCUUCCUUCCUUUGUUCUAAUUCAGUUCCCAGGGAGGUCACAUGGAGACCACAGUGGCUACCCAGUAGUCCAAGCCAAGGGUCCAAGGUAGGGGGUGGUUUAUGGGACUUGACUAGGAACCUAGGAGCCAGUGUCUAUCACCGGGUCUCAUUAUCUGAACUGUAAGAACCGAUGGUCCCUCCUUUCAUCUGAGCCCAGAAGCCCCCUUAAAAUGACAAGCACCCCAAUCCCAUCAGCCCAGACUCUCUGUCCCUCCCAGAACCCCACAAUGUAAGGUCAGGGUUCUUCUGCCAGCAAAGCCAUUCUGACUGCCCCACCUUUCAAGGAGACCAAGCCAACCAUAUUAGCCAUAAUCCACCAGGGUCCUCAGUCACUCUUCUUGGGUUGUGUUCCUGGGUCCUGUUCAACCUUCAUCAGCCCUUCCGGUCCAUGUGACAAUGCACAUCGGUGUGCGUGUGCUCAUACGUGCACAAGAGUGCACACACAAGGAAACCAACCAAACCCCAAUGUCAUCUUCUGCAUGUGGUGAGAUGGACUUGUGACCCUUGUGUGACCUCCGGCUGCUGUCCUGUCUUGUAAAAAAAAAAAAGUUCACAUGUUUAAGAAUUUUCAAGCAAAUGGUCCCUUAAUGAAGUCUGCAGCGUUCAAAUAAAAGAUACGGAGAAAAC
Molecule: long non-coding RNA, 1824 nt
Filed under: Rattus norvegicus (Norway rat)
Lineage: Eukaryota; Metazoa; Chordata; Mammalia; Rodentia; Muridae
Description: long non-coding RNA NONRATT019986
Source: RNAcentral